CUUUACUGUAGCUUUACAUUGGACUUUGAACAGAUCUGUGUAGGAUAGGUGGGAGGCUUUGAAGCGGUGCCGCUAGGUGUCGUGGAGCCAACGUUGAAAUACCACCCUGGUGUGUUUGAGGUUCUAACCUUGGCCCGUAAUCCGGGUUGGGGACAGUGUAUGGUAGGCAGUUUGACUGGGGCGGUCUCCUCCCAAAGCGUAACGGAGGAGUUCGAAGGUACGCUAGGCACGGUCGGAAAUCGUGCUUAUAGUGCAUAGGCAUAAGCGUGCUUGACUGCGAGACCGACAAGUCGAGCAGGUACGAAAGUAGGACUAAGUGAUCCGGUGGUUCUGUAUGGAAGGGCCAUCGCUCAACGGAUAAAAGGUA
Molecule: ribosomal RNA, 367 nt
Filed under: uncultured organism
Description: bacterial LSU rRNA
Rfam family: Bacterial large subunit ribosomal RNA
Source: RNAcentral